Molecule: unclassified non-coding RNA, 323 nt
Filed under: Paenibacillus sp. UNCCL117
Lineage: Bacteria; Bacillati; Bacillota; Bacilli; Caryophanales; Paenibacillaceae
Also listed under: 1 other name
Description: Bacterial RNase P class A
Rfam family: Bacterial RNase P class A
About the family: Ribonuclease P (RNase P) is a ubiquitous endoribonuclease, found in archaea, bacteria and eukarya as well as chloroplasts and mitochondria. Its best characterised activity is the generation of mature 5'-ends of tRNAs by cleaving the 5'-leader elements of precursor-tRNAs.
Source: RNAcentral
GACAAUCGCUGGCGGCUUCGGCCGCGAGAGGAAAGUCCGGGCUCCAUAGGGCGAUGAUGCUGGAUAACGUCCAGUCAACGCGAGUUGAAGGCUAGUGCCACAGAAAUGGACCGCCGAUGGCUGCUUUGCUGCAUCGCGCUUCGGCGCGGUGUGCGGAGCUUCACAGGCAAGGAUGGAACCGUGGUGUAAGAGACCACGAGGAGCCAUGGUGACAUGGUUCCUGGUAAACCCCAUCUGGAGCAAGACCUAAUGGAACGCUAGCUCCCUUGAGGAGCAGCCUCGGCCCGGGGCGCGUUCGGGUUGGUCGCUGGAGCCGGUCAGCA